Molecule: non-coding RNA, 82 nt
Organism: Ceratobasidium sp. 395
Lineage: Eukaryota; Fungi; Basidiomycota; Agaricomycetes; Cantharellales; Ceratobasidiaceae
Source: the annotation of a GenBank genome assembly
GGCCGCCUGGCGAAAUGGUAUCGCGUCUGACUACGAUCGUGUAUCAAUCAGGAGAUUGCAGGUUCGAGCCCUGCGGUGGUCA